RNAcentral lists this ribosomal RNA (255 nucleotides) under uncultured bacterium. Its description in RNAcentral is "partial 16S ribosomal RNA". It matches the Rfam family "Bacterial small subunit ribosomal RNA", at positions 524 to 776 of the family's 1533-position model. The record is from RNAcentral.
UACAGAGGUCUCAAGCGUUGCUCGGAAUCACUGGGCGUAAAGGGCGCGUAGGCGGAUCUUUAAGUCGGGGGGUGAAAGCCCAGGGCUCAACCCUGGGAAUUGCCCUUCGAUACUGGAGAUCUUGAGACCGGAAGAGGUAAGUGGAACUGCGAGUGUAGAGGUGAAAUUCGUAGAUAUCGCAAGAACACCAGUGGCGAAGGCGGCUUACUGGUCCGGUUCUGACGCUGAGGCGCGAAAGCGUGGGGAGCAAACAGG